This 311-nucleotide long non-coding RNA is filed under the name Lathyrus oleraceus (garden pea). RNAcentral describes it as "Pisum sativum (pea) long non-coding RNA (PSAT_LNC014346)". Lineage: Eukaryota; Viridiplantae; Streptophyta; Magnoliopsida; Fabales; Fabaceae. The record is from RNAcentral.
AAUUUAGUCAGGAUUUGGCCAUAUGCCGAAAGAAGAAAAGAAGAAAAAUUUAAUUAAAAUAAAGAAUAUGAAGAAUGAAAACUGAAUAAAAUCAAAAAGAAUAAUCAAAGAAAAAAAAUAAAAAUUUGUGGGUUAUCUCCCACGAAGCGCUUUGUUUAAUGUCGCAAGCUCGACAUAAAACUAUUAAAUGUUAAUCUAUUAAUUUUGGAGACAAUACGUCUAAGUGCAGGACUUGCGAGUCUUCAUUGUUUUCAUCAUAGUGAUAAUGUUUUAGACGCUGCCCGUUUACGAUAAAUGAUUCAAUAGAUUUU